Mauremys mutica (yellowpond turtle) is the source of this 72-nucleotide non-coding RNA. NCBI's taxonomy places the organism in Eukaryota, Metazoa, Chordata, Testudines, Geoemydidae. The record is from the annotation of a RefSeq genome assembly.
GGGGGUAUAGCUCAGUGGUAGAGUGUUUGAUUGUAGAUCAAGUGGUCUUUUGUUCAAACCCAGGUGCCCUCU